Non-coding RNA from Ciona savignyi (Pacific transparent sea squirt), 77 nucleotides. The record is from Rfam. NCBI's taxonomy places the organism in Eukaryota, Metazoa, Chordata, Ascidiacea, Phlebobranchia, Cionidae.
GCCCGGUUAGCUCAGCCGGUAGAGCGUUAGACUUUUAAUCCAACGUACGGUCAAGGGUUCAAGUCCUUUAUCGGGCU